This 484-nucleotide ribosomal RNA is filed under the name uncultured bacterium. RNAcentral describes it as "partial 16S ribosomal RNA". It matches the Rfam family "Bacterial small subunit ribosomal RNA", at positions 29 to 507 of the family's 1533-position model. The record is from RNAcentral.
AUUGAACGCUGGCGGCAUGCUUUACACAUGCAAGUCGAACGGCAGCGCGGGCUUCGGCCUGGCGGCGAGUGGCGAACGGGUGAGUAAUGCAUCGGAACGUGCCCAGUAGUGGGGGAUAGCCCGGCGAAAGCCGGAUUAAUACCGCAUACGACCUGAGGGUGAAAGCGGGGGACCGAAAGGCCUCGCGCUAUUGGAGCGGCCGAUGUCGGAUUAGCUAGUUGGUGGGGUAAAGGCUUACCAAGGCGACGAUCCGUAGCUGGUCUGAGAGGACGACCAGCCACACUGGGACUGAGACACGGCCCAGACUCCUACGGGAGGCAGCAGUGGGGAAUUUUGGACAAUGGGGGCAACCCUGAUCCAGCCAUGCCGCGUGCGGGAAGAAGGCCUUCGGGUUGUAAACCGCUUUUGUUCGGGAAGAAAUCAUCUGGGCUAAUACCCCGGGGGGAUGACGGUACCGGAAGAAUAAGCACCGGCUAACUACGUG